This 301-nucleotide ribosomal RNA is filed under the name uncultured bacterium. RNAcentral describes it as "partial 16S ribosomal RNA". It matches the Rfam family "Bacterial small subunit ribosomal RNA", at positions 509 to 807 of the family's 1533-position model. The record is from RNAcentral.
CAGCAGCCGCGGGAAUACAGAGGGUGCGAGCGUUAAUCGGAUUUACUGGGCGUAAAGCGUGCGUAGGCGGCUUCUUAAGUCGGAUGUGAAAUCCCUGAGCUUAACUUAGGAAUUGCAUUCGAUACUGUGAAGCUAGAGUAUGGGAGAGGAUGGUAGAAUUCCAGGUGUAGCGGUGAAAUGCGUAGAGAUCUGGAGGAAUACCGAUGGCGAAGGCAGCCAUCUGGCCUAAUACUGACGCUGAGGUACGAAAGCAUGGGGAGCAAACAGGAUUAGAUACCCCCGUAGUCCCUGUCUCUUAUAC